GUGGGGAAUUUUGGACAAUGGGCGAAAGCCUGAUCCAGCCAUGCCGCGUGCAGGAUGAAGGCCUUCGGGUUGUAAACUGCUUUUGUACGGAACGAAAAGACUCCUUCUAAUAAAGGGGGUCCAUGACGGUACCGUAAGAAUAAGCACCGGCUAACUACGUGCCAGCAGCCGCGGUAAUACGUAGGGUGCAAGCGUUAAUCGGAAUUACUGGGCGUAAAGCGUGCGCAGGCGGUUAUAUAAGACAGAUGUGAAAUCCCCGGGCUCAACCUGGGAACUGCAUUUGUGACUGUAUAGCUAGAGUACGGUAGAGGGGGAUGGAAUUCCGCGUGUAGCAGUGAAAUGCGUAGAUAUGCGGAGGAACACCGAUGGCGAAGGCAAUCCCCUGGACCUGUACUGACGCUCAUGCACGAAAGCGUGGGGAGCAAACAGGAUUAGAUACCCUGGUAUCC
Molecule: ribosomal RNA, 449 nt
Filed under: uncultured bacterium
Lineage: Bacteria
Description: partial 16S ribosomal RNA
Rfam family: Bacterial small subunit ribosomal RNA
Source: RNAcentral